UGGUCUCUUUUGAUACCCCACA
Molecule: microRNA, 22 nt
Filed under: Hyalella azteca
Lineage: Eukaryota; Metazoa; Arthropoda; Malacostraca; Amphipoda; Hyalellidae
Description: miR-1631
Source: RNAcentral